Bubalus bubalis (water buffalo) is the source of this 1528-nucleotide long non-coding RNA. RefSeq lists it as uncharacterized. NCBI's taxonomy places the organism in Eukaryota, Metazoa, Chordata, Mammalia, Artiodactyla, Bovidae. The record is from RefSeq and is a predicted model, not a curated record. The transcript is spliced from 3 exons.
UCCGCGGUGGUGGGGGGUGGGGUGCCGCGGCCGUAGGUGCGCGCGCAGCCCCAGCCGCACGAGGCGCCAGCUCAGGAGCGGCUGGGGCGUGGGGGCUGAGGUCUUGUCUGCGCGCUUCUGCGGCCCGGGUGGCGACUGGCUCGCGGACAUCCCUUUCGAAUCCGGUCCGGACCCUGGGGAAGGGUCCCGGCUAGCUGUGACCGCUCAAUCCUCUGCCGCGACUAUUUAACGCCCUUGAUUUCGACGUUCAAUCCCGAGCUCGUCUGUGCGUCCCCGGCGCGGUCCCUCAUGUCUGGCCCAAGACGUCCCCGGGGUUCUCCGCCGGCAGUCUCCAUCCGGGCCGGAUCGCCAAGGCCCCUUCUUCCUUUUCUGCCCCUGGUUUACAUGCUAAUUGUGUCUGGGAAAAGUUCUUUAAUUGGCAGAAUGAGGCAGAGCAAACGAAUUGUUUCACAGGCUGAACCAAAUUAAUUCCUAGUUUAGCGUCUUCCCUUGGAGAAACAAACAAUUAAACUGUCUUGUUUGUUUUAUGGAUAUAUUGGAAAUGCCCCACAUCGACUUUCAAGAUAUGUUUUUAAAGGGAAAUUAUUUUCAUUAUUAAUACUUGCAUGUUUAAUUUGCAGUAACGCUGAGCCAAGAAGCAAGAGAUUAAAUUUACGUAAUUUAAAAUUAGAGAAUACAGGAAGAAAAGAAUUUGAGUUAACUUUUUGCGUGGCUGAGAAAUACCGCCCAGAAUCUUCCUGUCAAGGACUAGAUCUGAAGUCUCACCAUCCAAUUAGGCACCCAUAGUCCUGACCAGGUGAGAUGACAUUUCCACCUGCCAGGGGAGAGAUACUCCCUGGGAGCUGGCAGAAAAGCCAGCUAUUGUGUCGCUGCCUGAAGCCCUCAGGGGAGCACCUGUAGGGAGCUGCCCUGAGAAACCUCAUGACGUCAUUUCCCCUUCUGCGCUGCGCUGACCGACUCCCAGAAGUCUGCCUUAACUUUUAAGUAAAACCGCUGCCCUUACAGAGCCUUUGAAGUCUGCUGUCUACCCUGUCCCUUCAGGGAAAGAAAGUUAAUGGGAGUUAAAGAAUCACCAAGCCUUAGGACUAGAAGAAACCCUGGACUGUUCGGUAGUUAAGUGGCCUGGAGUGAGAACAGCCUUAGUCUCUGGAGGCCAGCUGUUUUUAGGAAUUGUGUGAAUUAAAUGAGAUGGAGAGUGUAAACCGCAGGGGUGUAGAGGGGUCAGACGGAGGCGGAGCAAAGAAGGGGCUUGCUUUGUGUCAGUGCUGGGAGCUAGUCCAUCGUAAUUCCUCUUCAGUGCUCAAAAGACCACACCUGCUUUCCCCCACAUCACCUGGAAAAAGUAUGAUGGAGGAAGAGGAAAUGAAAAUGUGAACUCAGGAUUCUUUUAAAGAUCACAUCUAGCUAUUUGAUCUGAUCUCUGCUAUACCACUGGCCUCCCUGGUGGCUGAGUGGUAAAUAACUCACAUGUCAAUGUGGGAGUGGUGGGUCCCAUCCCUGGGUCUGGGAAAAUUCCCCUGAGAAGGAA